AGCGAACGCUGGCGGCAGGCUUAACACAUGCAAGUCGAGCGGGCGUAGCAAUACGUCAGCGGCAGACGGGUGAGUAACGCGUGGGAACGUACCUUUUGGUUCGGAACAACCCAGGGAAACUUGGGCUAAUACCGGAUAAGCCCUUACGGGGAAAGAUUUAUCGCCGAAAGAUCGGCCCGCGUCUGAUUAGCUAGUUGGUGAGGUAACGGCUCACCAAGGCGACGAUCAGUAGCUGGUCUGAGAGGAUGAUCAGCCACAUUGGGACUGAGACACGGCCCAAAACUCCUACGGGAGGCAGCAGUGGGGAAUAUUGGACAAUGGGCGCAAGCCUGAUCCAGCCAUGCCGCGUGAGUGAAGAAGGCCUU
Molecule: ribosomal RNA, 365 nt
Filed under: uncultured bacterium
Lineage: Bacteria
Description: bacterial SSU rRNA
Rfam family: Bacterial small subunit ribosomal RNA
Source: RNAcentral